GCAGCAUACAACCACUCACGAAGAACAGCACAGUGUUGGCAAGGAGAAGUUUCUUAACCUUUUGAGGUUGUUGGCCUGCCUUUCUGUGACUUUGUUGAUCUGCUACCUGUUAAAAAGACACCGACAAGGAAAAGCAGAUUUGCAAACUCCAACAACGGUUGAGGCAUGAGCUGAAGAUAUUUUAGAUAGCGGUUUGGCACAGCACACGGAAAAUCUAUAAAUAUUAUCUCUGCUCGUCUGUUUGUUAAGCAUUGCAUUAUUUUUGUGAGCUGUUAUUUUUAUGUUGUACAGUAGCUUUCUCCUUGUUCUAAUUUUGUAUAUCAUGUACAGUUGCUGUUCUCCUAACAUCCUUAAAGAUCAAAUGUUUAUUAAUAGGAACUGAAAAGAACAAUACCUGAUGCUGAUGCAGGCCUUUAAUACGUUUAUUCAAUCAUUUCAUUUGGAUGAGAUGAAAUGACCAAAUGAACUGAAUGAUCUCUGCACUUAAUGAACACGAGUUGAAGUUAGCAAACUAGUUACACUAGUAUGGUAAAGGAAGAUAUUUGAUACAGUUCAGGUUAAGAUGACAAAUAUGCACUGAGCCUCUUCUGCAAAUGCUUUUUCAUGAACCCGUCAAUCACUUGUGUGUUUGGUUAAAGUGGCUAAGACUUUUUUCUAAGUGAACACUUUCAUAUAGACAAUUCUUGUUGGUUUCUGUGAGUUGCCAUCUCUGAUGAUUCCUCAAACCACACUGGAAAAUAUCAUAGACUUUGCUGUAUUUACUCUGGAUGUUACUUACUCAAUUUUCCAUACGAUGAUUUAUAUCACUGUUGUUUGGUCUCAUUAAAUGCUUUGAAUAUAAAUCCUUACUGAAUGUAAGUGGAUGAGGAUAAAAUAGCAAACUUGUAGAGCUUUUUGUAGAAUGAUGAGCAGGAAAAUAUUAAAGUACUACAAUGUUCUACAACGA
Molecule: long non-coding RNA, 946 nt
Organism: Notolabrus celidotus (New Zealand spotty)
Lineage: Eukaryota; Metazoa; Chordata; Actinopteri; Labriformes; Labridae
Exons: 5
Source: RefSeq, a predicted model, not a curated record